GAUGAACGCUGGCGGCGUGCCUAAUACAUGCAAGUCGAGCGAACAGAUGAGGAGUUUGCUCCUCUGACGUUAGCGGCGGACGGGUGAUUAACACGUGGAGAACCUACCUAUUAGACUGGGAUAACUUCGUGAAACCGGAGCUAAUACCGGAUAAUAUAUUGAACCUCAUGGUGCAAUAGUUAAAGACGGUGUUGCUGUCACUUAUAGAUGUAUCCGCGCCUCAUUAGGUAGUUGGUAAGUUAACGGCUUACCAACGCAACGAUGCUUAGCCGACCUGAAAGCAUGAUCGGACCCCCUGUCAUCGACACACGGCCCAGACCCCUACCGUAGGCAGCAGCCGGGAAUCUCCCCCAAUGCACCAAAGCCUGACGGAACAACGCCGCGUGAGUGAUGAAGGUCUUAGGAUCGUAAACCUCUGUUAUUAGGGAAGAACAAAUGUGUAAGUAACUAUGCACGUCUUGACGGUACCUAAUCAGAGAGCCACGCCUAACUACGUA
RNAcentral lists this ribosomal RNA (497 nucleotides) under uncultured bacterium. RNAcentral describes it as "partial 16S ribosomal RNA". It matches the Rfam family "Bacterial small subunit ribosomal RNA", at positions 28 to 507 of the family's 1533-position model. The record is from RNAcentral.